Molecule: ribosomal RNA, 501 nt
Filed under: uncultured bacterium
Lineage: Bacteria
Description: partial 16S ribosomal RNA
Rfam family: Bacterial small subunit ribosomal RNA
Source: RNAcentral
AUUGAACGCUGGCGGCAUGCCUUACACAUGCAAGUCGAACGGCAGCACGGGUGCUUGCACCUGGUGGCGAGUGGCGAACGGGUGAGUAAUACAUCGGAACGUACCUUAUCGUGGGGGAUAACGCAGCGAAAGCUGUGCUAAUACCGCAUACGCCCUGAGGGGGAAAGCGGGGGAUCGAAAGACCUCGCGCGAUUAGAGCGGCCGAUGCCUGAUUAGCUUGUUGGUGGGGUAAAAGCCCACCAAGGCGACGAUCAGUAGCUGGUCUGAGAGGACGAUCAGCCACACUGGGACUGAGACACGGCCCAGACUCCUACGGGAGGCAGCAGUGGGGAAUUUUGGACAAUGGGGGCAACCCUGAUCCAGCAAUGCCGCGUGAGUGAAGAAGGCCUUCGGGUUGUAAAGCUCUUUUGUCAGGGAAGAAACACCGGCUCUAACACAGUCCGGGAAUGACGGUACCUGAAGAAUAAGCACCGGCUAACUACGUGCCAGCCGCCGCGGUAA